This 668-nucleotide long non-coding RNA is filed under the name Rattus norvegicus (Norway rat). RNAcentral's name for it is "long non-coding RNA NONRATT005181". Lineage: Eukaryota; Metazoa; Chordata; Mammalia; Rodentia; Muridae. The record is from RNAcentral.
CCUGGACAGUAUCAGCAUGCCCAGAGCAGCUGCUUCCUCUGACAGGAUCAUGAAGCAUUAGGAAAAUCACUAGAAGCAUGUCACAGGCUGCAGGAGUCCCAGAUGAUGUGGGAUAUGCCCACAAGGUUACUUAGCCCCCCUGAUGACCGGCAAGCCUCAGAGCCAGUGCCCUACAUGUGUCCUGGAACAGCCCUUCCAGCUGGGCUCCUGACGGUAUAAUUGCUUCAGAGACCCACAGAGGCGAAGGGAAUUGCCCAAGCCCCCAGCAGCACCCAGGGCCCUGCCACCACAGACCACAAAGCAGCUUUCCGGCUCCAAAAAAGCACACAGGCUGAGUGGGGAGAGGAGCAACAACCAGAGCGGCUCAUCGUCCCCACUGAAAUACUUGAUGGCUUGCAGAACUGCCACUUCUUCCAAAAACUCGGUGAGCCCUGGCCGCUCUGCCCCACCCUCUUCCUGGAAGUAGUUGUGGUCAGAGAAGCAAAGAAGUUUCCUCUCUGUCAUCCAUUUCAAAUUGAUACAGGAUGGACAGUUAAAAGGCCCACCUCUCCACUCCAGGAGCGGCCUAUCACCAAUUACCUGUCUCUCAGUUUUCUCCUCUGUAUACUGGGGGCAACACAGUACUCAGGGUCAAGGGCUGCCCCUGUAGGGCUCAAGACCAGGCAUGA